RNAcentral lists this transfer RNA (73 nucleotides) under Cavernulicola chilensis. RNAcentral describes it as "tRNA-Thr". It matches the Rfam family "tRNA". From Rfam's summary of the family: Transfer RNA (tRNA) molecules are approximately 80 nucleotides in length. Their secondary structure includes four short double-helical elements and three loops (D, anti-codon, and T loops). Lineage: Eukaryota; Rhodophyta; Bangiophyceae; Cavernulicolales; Cavernulicolaceae. The record is from RNAcentral.
GUGCUAGUGUAGCUCAAUUGGUAGAGCAACUGAUUUGUAAUCAGUUGGUUGCGGGUUCAAGUCCUGUCACUAG